AGCGAACGCUGGCGGCAGGCCUAACACAUGCAAGUCGAACGAACUCUUCGGAGUUAGUGGCGGACGCGUGAGUAACACGUGGGAACGUGCCUUUCGGUUCGGAAUAACUCAGGGAAACCUGUGCUAAUACCGAAUGUGCCCUUCGGGGGAAAGAUUUAUCGCCUUUAGAGCGGCCCGCGUCUGAUUAGCUAGUUGGUGAGGUAAAGGCUCACCAAGGCGACGAUCAGUAGCUGGUCUGAGAGGAUGAUCAGCCACAUUGGGACUGAGACACGGCCCAAACUCCUACGGGAGGCAGCAGUGGGGAAUCUUGCGCAAUGGGCGAAAGCCUGACGCAGCCAUGCCGCGUGAAUGAUGAAGGUCUUAGGAUUGUAAAAUUCUUUCACCGGGGACGAUAAUGACGGUACCCGGAGAAGAAGCCCCGGCUAACUUCGUGCCAGCCGCCGCCGUAA
RNAcentral lists this ribosomal RNA (449 nucleotides) under uncultured bacterium. RNAcentral's name for it is "partial 16S ribosomal RNA". It matches the Rfam family "Bacterial small subunit ribosomal RNA", at positions 29 to 523 of the family's 1533-position model. The record is from RNAcentral.